Molecule: ribosomal RNA, 49 nt
Filed under: Elatostema garrettii
Lineage: Eukaryota; Viridiplantae; Streptophyta; Magnoliopsida; Rosales; Urticaceae
Also listed under: 1 other name
Description: partial 26S ribosomal RNA
Source: RNAcentral
GCGACCCCAGGUCAGGCGGGAUUACCCGCUGAAUUUAAGCAUAUCAAUA